Molecule: transfer RNA, 83 nt
Filed under: Candidatus Similichlamydia laticola
Lineage: Bacteria; Pseudomonadati; Chlamydiota; Chlamydiia; Parachlamydiales; Candidatus Parilichlamydiaceae
Rfam family: tRNA
About the family: Transfer RNA (tRNA) molecules are approximately 80 nucleotides in length.
Source: Rfam by way of RNAcentral
GCGGAGGUGGCGGAAUGGUAGACGCGCUACUUUGAGGUGGUAGUGAGAGAAUUCUCGUGAGGGUUCGACUCCCUCCUUCCGCA